AUAAAAGGCAUGAGCUGAUGUAUUUGACUGUUUUUACCAGCUCAAGCUGAGGACCUGCACGUGGGAACCUCAUGAGGCAGGGGGAGCCCUGCCUUCCUGGACAUAGUCCCCCAGGGACUCCCAGUGGAAAGGUCUGGAUCUCUUCAAUGAGCAGGCUAAUACAUGUCAUGAGGUGAUUGCCUGGUGGGCCAGGUUCCUUGGCUGACCACAGAAAUAGGGGAAGCAGGGAGGAAGGAAGCCAGAGAACGUAGCAGUACUUUAAAACAAAGAAAAAAAAAUUCACUUAGUUCUAGCAGCACCAGCACCUUUCCUGAAGUUGAAUCACCCUCUUCUCCUGGCAGAGUGAGCUGGACUGAUUUAUAUAGGCCCCAGGCCCCUCCCAUUCCCAGCAGCCAAAAUGGGUUGCCAUCCUCUGACUCCUCCACAACAAUAUGUCUGUGACAGUUGUCAGCAAUGGAUCGGAAAAGGUCUCUUCCUAGCUCCAACCCUUUUCUCCAUUUUUCUUGCUGUCAUCCUCCUUCUCAUCGUUGACAAGCUCCUCUCCAGACUUGACAUCCAAGACAGAAUGGACAGCAAGUUUUUCAACCUCUAAGACUAUCACUAAAUCAGUUAUUGAACUCCAGUAUGCAGAUGGUUGUGCCCUGUAUGCCCGCUCAGAAGAAGAUCUUCAAAAAAUAGUUGACACGUUCUCUGAGACCUACAACCAACUUGGCCUCAUGCUCAACACCAAGAGCACAAAAGUACUCCACCAACAGGCUCUGAAUCACCAGGAUCCUGCUCCCAUAAUUCAGAUCAAUAAAGAGACCUUCAGAAUGUCUAGCACUUCCCUUACCUCAGCAAUUAUCUGUCCCAGAAAGCUGACAUUGAUGAGAAAAUUCAACACUGCUUUCAGACACUUAAAAAAUGUGCCUUUGAAGAUCAUGACAUCAAAAAUCAAACCAAGCCACUGUUAUCCCUGCUCUCUUGUAUGGUGCUGACACCUGGGUCACAUACAACAGACACCUCAAAGUUCUUGAACGGUGCCUCUGCAAGAUCUUUAGACUCAAGUAAGAUGACCGGCGCACCAACAUCCGUGUUUAGUCCCACGCCAAAACCUCCAGCACUAAAGCUGUGAUCAUCCAUCACCAACUCCAUUGGGUUGGUCAUGUUCUUCGAGUGCCAGAAAAUAGACUCCCAGAGGAGGUCAUGUUCUCACAACUGAGCCAUGGCCAACAGACGAGGGGCAGGCAAAAAAGUGUUUCAAAGACACCCUCAAAGCCAACAUGAAGAAGUGCAAUAUUGACAUAAACUCAUGGGAAACCCAAGCCCUUGACCAACCAAAAUGGAAAAGGACCUUGUGGCAAGGAUCCCAGUAUUGAGAGAUCCAACAGAGAAAUGGGAAAGGAGGAAAGAGCAUACGACAGCUUGACUCAACAAUCCAGAUCCGCCCCCUUUCAUUGGGAAAUAUGUGCCCCAAUUGUGACAAGAUCUGUGGAUCCUGGAUCAGUCUUAUUAGCCACCUGUGGAUCCAUCAGCAAUAACUGGCUAUCAUUUUAUGGAAGACGAUAAUCCUCAAACUCCGAGAGAUCGCUGACAAUUAGCCUCUUGUGGAAAUAACUUCCUGCUCAAAUACAUCACUGUGUGUUGUACCCCCUUUUUAUUUUCUUGAAAUAAGCUACUUCAAGGAUAACUCCUGAAGCAUCAGCUUUUACUAUAAAUUCAGCUGACUAAGCCCCAGGAAUACCCCUUCUAUGUCUUCCUUUUGGGCUCUAGACAAUUGCUCUGAGCCAUGGGACCACUUCAUUUCCUUAAACAGGGACUGUAGCUUCCUAAAUUCAGCCUCCAUCUCUAUGUCCCUCUUUUCUUGAUGACUCCAAAAUUGCUGGAAGAGGAUGCUCAAGUUAGGAAAUGAUUCCUUGAGUCUGAGAGAUGAUGUUUUCCUGCCCAAACUAAUUUGAAAUGCAAUGCAGGAGUAGCCAUUCUCUCUUUCUUUUCCUGAGAUUUCUUCUCCACUCACCCUUUCUCCUGCCCUCUCUCUCCUGUGUAGUGUAUGCGGUUCCUCUAGACUGAGAUCCUGUUUCCCCACAAUCUCCUGAACCCUCAGUAACCUCUGAUUUCUGGUCUCCAUCUCCUUUCUUGUCUCCCCACUCAGGGAUAUCCCACCCUGACACCAAACGUCAUCCCUGCUUACCAAGGAAUAACCUGGGGACAGGAGUCUUAUAGAAUCACAUUAAUUAAUAAACAUGAAAUUACUCAUCUCAAUUUUCAGUAUAAAAUGGAAUAAUUGUUCAUUGCUUUUUUAAAAUAAUCUUGGGCCUCAGAGGCAGACACACUCUAACAAGGAAUUAGCUUGGCAGAUACUUUAUAUGUCUGAUUUAAUUUCUGAAAGUUAAUACUUUGCUAUCCAAGUCUGGAUCUUUUUAAUGAGCAGUCUAAUAUAGUUAGGUUUUUAUCAAGCCAAUCAAAUAACAAUUUCACAAUACAUUAAUGGAUGUCCUUUGGUUUCAUAUAGUAAAUAAAGCAUAGGUAAGUAAUAGCUUAAUCAACGGCUGGGCUAGCCAGAAUGCCUUACCAUUGAGGCUAGCUAUUUAACUUUAUUAUUACAACAGUGCAGGUGGAUUAUUAUAUUGCAUAAUGGAACAGUACUCUUAAAACAUAACGUUUGAAUUUUUCUUAUUAUAGGCCGUAAUUCUUUCUUCUUUGAUUCCCUUCUAUGAGCUCAGCAGCAACAAUGGGGUUCAAUGAAGUCUUUCCACCACUUUGUCUUCUACCAGCUUCACAGCUUUGUUCAUCUUUAAACCUUUUUGUUGUAUGUCCUUCCUCACUGUGUCUAUCCAGCACUUCGUGGGCCGUCCUCUGUUUCUAGUUCCUUGCACUCUAGAGCGUCUCACCAUGCAUGGUGACAUUUUCAGAUCCCUUUUUGACACAUGUCCAAACCUUUUCAGUCAUCUUUUUCGACUUGUCUGUAACAGUGUCAUUUCUUGCCCUAGCUGGUUUUGGGUCCCUUUUCGUUGUCUGUGGUCUUGAACCUCUCAGUAUUUCCCUUAGCUGCUCAUUUCUGCCAUCAAUAUCUUUUGUUCGUUGGCUUUCCUCAUGCUCCAACGUUACAACUCAUACAGGAUUAUCAGCAUGACAAUUGCCUCAUACGUGCUGAUUUCGUUUUUAUCAACAUGGGUUUAGAUUUCCAGAUCUUGCAGACUUUUCCUAAUAUAGGAGCUGUUAAUCCAAUACUGCUUAUGUCAUCAUCACAAUUGCUAUGCUUCAAUAUUAAUCCUCCAAGGUACACGCAUUUUUCCACAUGUUUUACUUCUUUGUCUCCAACUUUGGUCUUUAUCUCUUCCUCUUGUCUUCCGACUGACCUAAUUUUUGCCUUCUCCAUACUGAUUGUCAAUCAGAAUUUUUCUGCUUCCUAUCUACCUUUGUCCGUUAUUUUCUGUAAAUCCUGCUUGGUCAACAUCAUCUGGAAAUCUAAGGUUAUUCACUCUCCUCCCACAUAACAUGACUCUUCCUGUUUCAUCUCUUGGUGCUACAGCCAUUACUGCUUCCAGUACCAAGUUGAACAAAAUUUGCCAUAGCGUGCAUCCUUGUCUCACUCCCAGCAGCGCCUGGAGCUAUAUGUGUGUUAUGCAUGGUGAGUACUGUUGGCAGGGCACCAAGUCAUCAGGACUGGUCCCUCUCAACAGUAGAAUGAGGAGGAGCAUUACUGACUGCCCCACUGCUUGCUCAGGUUUGUCCCCUCCAUCAUAAUGGUGGCAGGGGAGGGAAUUGAGUGAUGCGUUGAGUGAAUGAUGUUGUGACAUGGUGUGUGGAGGUCACAGCGCCUCUCAGAUUUGGCCCUGUGGCCACUCCAUCACAAUGGGGAGGUGGCAGGGCCAAACUGAGUGAGUGGCAUUGUGACCUGGUGCUUGGGGGUUGCAGCGCUGCUCACUCAAUUUUGACCCUGCAGCCUCCCCAUCAUGAUA
This is a long non-coding RNA of Chelonia mydas (Green sea turtle), 3941 nucleotides long. RefSeq lists it as uncharacterized. The transcript has 3 exons. The record is from RefSeq and is a predicted model, not a curated record. NCBI's taxonomy places the organism in Eukaryota, Metazoa, Chordata, Testudines, Cheloniidae.